AUAUCUCCAAUUUCAAAAGAGAGGCUUUUGGGUUGGUGAACAAAAUUAAUGUUUCUUUCUCCUAUGCAGUUUCGAGCAGGUCUCUUUUGCUUCACAAAUGAGAAAUAGCUGUAACAUUUCAAUUAGUUCUUGUGGGUGAUGUUUUCAGCAUGUUUUUACAUACGAGUUUCUGGUCACAUAAACCUGGUGGAAUAAUUGUCUUUCCUCAAUGAAGCUUGGUGAGACAGGGGAAGAAUGGUGUGGAGGAAGUUUCGGAAUUGGGUCCUCUCUGAGACUUGGCUUUGCAGCUCCUAAAGUGACCAUACUUAUAGCUAAUUAGCUCACUUGCAUCAUUUGAUGUUUGUAGGAGAAAGAUAUUGAGGGGUUGAGCUUACUGACCAUACUUGGCUUGAGUGAAUCAUACAUGAUGAGGUACUUUGUGCUAAUGAAUUAGUGUUCUUUUCCCAAUUAUCCUGUUGGAAUCAUUUGUAUUGAUUGGCAUGAUUGCCUUUAUUUUGGAUAGUCUUGUAUGCUGACAGAAAUUCUUUUUAUUGGUCAUUUGCAAUUCAAGUGCA
Molecule: long non-coding RNA, 554 nt
Organism: Rosa chinensis
Lineage: Eukaryota; Viridiplantae; Streptophyta; Magnoliopsida; Rosales; Rosaceae
Exons: 4
Source: RefSeq, a predicted model, not a curated record